GACGAACGCUGGCGGCGUGCCUAACACAUGCAAGUCGAGCGGAGUCAGUAAGAGGAAGUUUUCGGAUGGAAUCUUAUUGAUUUAGCGGCGGACGGGUGAGUAACGCGUGAGCGACCAACCUUGCACAGGGGGAUAACGGACCGAAAGGUUCACUAAUACCGCAUGAGACCACGGUGUUGCAUGACACAGGGGUCAAAGGAGCAAUCCGGUGCAAGACGGGCUCGCGUCCGAUUAGGUAGUUGGAGGGGUAACGGCCCACCAAGCCUAUGAUCGGUAGCAGACCUGAGAGGGUGAUCGGCCACAAUGGAACUGAGAUACGGUCCAAACUCCUACGGGAGGCAGCAGUGGGGAAUAUUGGGCAAUGGGGGAAACCCUGACCCAGCAACGCCGCGUGAAGGAAGAAGGUUUUCGGAUUGUAAACUUCUGUCCUUGGUGAAGAGAAGAAGACGGUAGCCAAGGAGGAAGCCCCGGCUAACUACGUGCCAGCCGCCGCCGUAA
Molecule: ribosomal RNA, 498 nt
Filed under: uncultured bacterium
Lineage: Bacteria
Description: partial 16S ribosomal RNA
Rfam family: Bacterial small subunit ribosomal RNA
Source: RNAcentral